This 163-nucleotide non-coding RNA is filed under the name uncultured Fusobacterium sp. Its description in RNAcentral is "Lysine riboswitch". It matches the Rfam family "Lysine riboswitch aptamer". Rfam says of the family: Riboswitches are metabolite binding domains within certain messenger RNAs that serve as precision sensors for their corresponding targets. Allosteric rearrangement of mRNA structure is mediated by ligand binding, and this results in modulation of gene expression. This family includes riboswitches that sense lysine in a number of genes involved in lysine metabolism, including lysC. The record is from RNAcentral. Lineage: Bacteria; Fusobacteriati; Fusobacteriota; Fusobacteriia; Fusobacteriales; Fusobacteriaceae.
AGGAUAGAGGUUGCAAUUUUCAAGAGUAAUCUAAAUGUAAAAAGUUGGUGAACUGUUAUUUAGACAAAAGGGGAAAUUGCCGAAAGAAUUAUACUACACCAUAUAAUUCUUGGGCUAUUACAAAAUAUGUAAUAGACUGUCACAAAUUUGUGGAGAGCUAUCA